Molecule: long non-coding RNA, 575 nt
Filed under: Monodelphis domestica (gray short-tailed opossum)
Lineage: Eukaryota; Metazoa; Chordata; Mammalia; Didelphimorphia; Didelphidae
Description: lncRNA (ENSMODG00000043374.1)
Source: RNAcentral
CCUGAUUGGAUGUUGUGACCUAAUUACAAGGAAUAUAUAGUGACAUAUCAAUAGAGGGUAGUGAAACCACUUUCCUGGCAAAAAUCAAGAAUUAUAAAUGUGAAACAGGCAUAUUGUGUUAGAUGUAGUUAAGGUACUGGUUAGUUUUACUGAAUUGCUUUUUUCUUUAUUUUUUAUUCUUUGUUAUAAGAGAUGGCACAGAGGAAAUACAAGAGAAGAAUAUAUUUGCAGAUGCAGAUGAUAGAAGUACAAUCAAUAAAUAUUUAAAGAUAUCAAGGUUUACAGAUGAGGGAACCAAGGUACUCAAAGAAUCUCUCACAAAGGAGGAUUGGAUACUGAUAAUGCUGUUGGAAAUUAUUGUUCAGGUAAGAGUUUAACUAGAUGGUAUUAGGCAUUCCUUAAAACUCUGAAAUUUUAUGAUCUGGCUCUUUAAAAUACACUUGGGGAAUUUUUUUGUAGUCAUUUUGGUUUUUUGCUGGUGCCGUGGAUAAAGUCCUGGUCUAAGGACUAGAAGUCCUGAGUCCAAAUUCUGUCUGAGAUAAUUACUAGCUCUGUCACCCUAAGCAAGUCUAAUA